Molecule: long non-coding RNA, 305 nt
Filed under: Homo sapiens (human)
Lineage: Eukaryota; Metazoa; Chordata; Mammalia; Primates; Hominidae
Description: HSALNT0367617
Source: RNAcentral
ACGAAGAUAUUUCUUUUUCUACCAUUGGCCUCAAAGCGCUUGAAAUCUCCACCUGCAAAUUCCACAAAGAGAGUUUCAAAUCUGCUCUGUCUAAAGGAAGGUUCAACUCUGUGACUUGAAUACACACAACACAAAGAAGUUACUGAGAAAUUCUCCGUCUAGCAUUAUAUGAAGAAAUCCCGUUACCAACGAAGGCCUCAAAGUGGUCCUAAUAUCCACUUGCAGACUUUACAAACAGAGUGUUUCCAAACUGCUCUAUGAAAAGAAAGGUUACACUCUGUGAGUUGAACGCACACAUCACAAAG